CAGGUGCGAAAGCGUGGGGAGCAAACAGGAUUAGAUACCCUGGUAGUCCACGCCGUAAACGAUGUCGACUUGGAGGUUGUGCCCUUGAGGCGUGGCUUCCGGAGCUAACGCGUUAAGUCGACCGCCUGGGGAGUACGGCCGCAAGGUUAAAACUCAAAUGAAUUGACGGGGGCCUGCACAAGCGGUGGAGCAUGUGGUUUAAUUCGAUGCAACGCGAAGAACCUUACCUGGUCUUGACAUCCACAGAACUUUCCAGAGAUGGAUUGGUGCCUUCGGGAACUGUGAGACAGGUGCUGCAUGGCUGUCGUCAGCUCGUGUUGUGAAAUGUUGGGUUAAGUCCCGCAACGAG
This 349-nucleotide ribosomal RNA is filed under the name Escherichia coli. Its description in RNAcentral is "bacterial SSU rRNA". It matches the Rfam family "Bacterial small subunit ribosomal RNA", at positions 748 to 1096 of the family's 1533-position model. The record is from RNAcentral. Lineage: Bacteria; Pseudomonadati; Pseudomonadota; Gammaproteobacteria; Enterobacterales; Enterobacteriaceae.